Drosophila ananassae is the source of this 160-nucleotide non-coding RNA. Lineage: Eukaryota; Metazoa; Arthropoda; Insecta; Diptera; Drosophilidae. The record is from Rfam.
GAUAACAGCGUAAUUUUUUUGGAGAGUUCAUAUCGAUAAAAAAGAUUGCGACCUCGAUGUUGGAUUAAGAUAUAAUUUUGGGUGUAGCCGUUCAAAUUUUAAGUCUGUUCGACUUUUAAAUUCUUACAUGAUCUGAGUUCAAACCGGUGUAAGCCAGGUU